Molecule: long non-coding RNA, 1042 nt
Organism: Brienomyrus brachyistius
Lineage: Eukaryota; Metazoa; Chordata; Actinopteri; Osteoglossiformes; Mormyridae
Exons: 3
Source: RefSeq, a predicted model, not a curated record
ACGCAUCUAUUGGCUAUAACGUGUGGAAUGAGUUACCAUAUAUUUUUAGUUUAUUUUCUGUUUUGGAUUCUCCCCUGUUUUACCGGUUUAUAUUCAAGGACGGCGUUACAGGGGAGUGACUAUUACUACACAAUGUCGUGAAAUGUCUCCGCCUGCGACUGAAACGCGGAGAAGCGCCGGAAUCCCCCCGCAGGCUGCUGCUGCUGCGGGCGUUUCCUCUCCUUUAAGAGGCCGGAGUCAAAACAGAAGCGCAGCGAGUCAGAAAAGCGACACCACAGACCCAUUUCCCCACGAACGACAGAUCGCGUUACAGGUUCCGUGAACGAGCGCUGUGCACUGUGCUGUUGGGGGAGUGCGUCGCUGAGUACUCAGGCACCCACGAAAGAUGUACGGAGUUCCCGGAAUGCCAGACCUCCUGCAACCGGCUGGUCCUUUCCAAGAUCGCCCGGCCCGGUACGACCAGGAUAUGGGAGAUAAUUACAGUGGGAACCCUUUUAGACACGACUCCACUCCGGUGAGGCUUCACCGUCGUGCUCCGAAACUGGGUCAGAUCGGACGCUCCAAGAAAGUGGAUAUUGAAGAUGAAAAUUUGGACAACAUCCUGAAUGCCAGUUGCCACUUCCCGGUGCCGGUCUCACCUGUUGCCUAGACGUCGCCAUCUGUGCCAAUGCUAAAAACGCCAAAUUUAAAAAUAUCUAUGUUGUUUUAUAAGGACAUCUUACAUUUACAUGGCUUGUUUUUACGCAAAUUGCGCAGCUGCUGAUAUUUUCUGGGUCUUUGUGAAUCAGAAGUAAAUGUUUUGCUACUGGUACAUUGGGCUGAAUAAAUUGUGGUUCUGGGGUCGCAUAUGAGGAAUGUGUUGCCCUGCUCCAGCUGCGUUUUGGGGGGAUGAGAUCUGCAGUGUGGGUUAUUUAUUAUCUUAUAUUAGUGUUAGGGUCAAAUUGACUCAAAGAAUAAUCCUGUUUUAAAACUUUUCAGACUUUUUUCUUCAGCCUGAAAUAUUGAAUUAUUUAGGAUAAUAAACAUAUACAUAUAAAAUAAA